GGACUGCCGGUGUCAAACCGGAGGAAGGUGGGGACGACGUCAAGUCAUCAUGGCCCUUAUGCCCAGGGCGACACACGUGCUACAAUGGCCGGUACAGCGCGCCGCGAACCCGCGAGGGUAAGCCAAUCGCUAAAAGCCGGUCUAAGUUCGGAUUGUAGUCUGCAACUCGACUGCAUGAAGCCGGAAUCGCUAGUAAUCGCGGAUCAGCCAUGCCGCGGUGAAUACGUUCCCGGGCCUUGUACACACCGCCCGUCACGCCAUGGAAGCUGGGGGGACCCGAAGCCGGUGGGCUAACCGCAAGGAGGCAGCCGUCGAAGGUCAACUCAGUGACUGGGGCGAAGUCGUAACAAGGUAGCCGUAGGGGAACCUGCGGCUGGAUCACCUCCUUUCUGGA
Molecule: ribosomal RNA, 394 nt
Filed under: Gemmatimonadales bacterium
Lineage: Bacteria; Pseudomonadati; Gemmatimonadota; Gemmatimonadia; Gemmatimonadales
Description: bacterial SSU rRNA
Rfam family: Bacterial small subunit ribosomal RNA
Source: RNAcentral